AUUGAACGCUGGCGGAAGGCCUAACACAUGCAAGUCGAACGAGUGGCGGACGGGUGAGUAAUGUCUGGGAAACUGCCUGAUGGAGGGGGAUAACUACUGGCAACGGUAGCUAAUCCCGCAUACCAUCGGAUGUGCCCAGAUGGGAUUAGCUAGUAGGUGGGGUAAAGGCUCACCUAGGCGACGAUCCCUAGCUGGUCUGAGAGGAUGACCAGCCACACUGGCACGUAGACACGGUCCAGACUCCUACGGGAGGCAGCAGUGGGGAAUAUUGCACAAUGGGCGCAAGCCUGAUGCAGCCAUGACGCGGGUAUGAAGAAGGCCUUCGGGUUGUAAAGUACUUUCAGCGGAGAAGCGUUACCCGCAGAAUAAGCACCGGCUAACUCCGUGCCAGCAGCCGCGGUAAUAC
This 406-nucleotide ribosomal RNA is filed under the name uncultured bacterium. Its description in RNAcentral is "partial 16S ribosomal RNA". It matches the Rfam family "Bacterial small subunit ribosomal RNA", at positions 30 to 526 of the family's 1533-position model. The record is from RNAcentral.